ACACGGAGGGUGCGAGCGUUGUUCGGAAUCACUGGGCGUAAAGCGGGUGUAGGCGGUCUAGCAAGUCAGAUGUGAAAGUCCAGGGCUCAACCCUGGAAGUGCACCUGAAACUGUUAGACUUGAGUACUGGAGAGGGAAGUGGAAUUCCUGGUGUAGGGGUGAAAUCCGUAGAUAUCAGGAGGAACGCCGGUGGCGAAGGCGACUUCCUGGACAGAUACUGACGCUCAGACCCGAAAGCGUGGGGAGCAAACAGGAUUAGAAACCCCAGUAGUCC
RNAcentral lists this ribosomal RNA (274 nucleotides) under uncultured bacterium. RNAcentral's name for it is "partial 16S ribosomal RNA". It matches the Rfam family "Bacterial small subunit ribosomal RNA", at positions 523 to 796 of the family's 1533-position model. The record is from RNAcentral.